UCUUCAUUCUUUCCUUUUUGUUUGUCCUGAAAAUAUAGCAUAUGAUAAUAUUGUCAUCAUUGAAACUUAAACAUAAACUUUGGGUUUUAUAACAAGGGAAAAAGGAGAAACUGACAUUGUAAUGACGUGGUACUUUCUCAGCUGUUUAAAAAGUUAUGCAUGAGAGUACAAAGGAACUACUAACCUGUGUCAAGGGAAUCAGGUUCCCUGACUACUUUUGUAAAUGUGCGUCUCAUCCUUUUACCAAAAUGCAACACCAUUAGCUUCUUCUUUGCUCUAUAAUUGUCAUGCGUGUCUACCUGUAACGGUAUAGAAAUGAGUUAGAACGUGCCAAAAAACACUUUUAGCUAUUUUACCUGUUCGUUUCUUUCAUAGCCAAUCAUCAUGGGACCAGGUCCUCAACUUGAUUUUAUCAACCCCAGUGCCAAAUGAUUCUUUUCAAAAUGCUCUCUGCCCAGUGCUUCUGUAAAGAUAUCUGCAGUUUGAUCUUCUGUGCUGCAAAAAUUCAUGCAGAUAAGCCCUUUCUCAACAUUAUCUCUGAGAAAAUGAUGUCGCACAUCAAUAUACUUUGUUCUCUUAUGCUGAACUCGAUUCUUUGCCAUGUUGAGAGCACUGGUGUUGUCACAUAGUAAUGGCACACAAUCAGAGAACACACCAAAAUCUUCUAGCUUCUACUUGAUCCAUGGCAAUUGAGCACAACGAGAGGCAGCUGCCACAUACUCAGCUUCUGUAGUUGAAAGAGCCAGUGAGUUUUGUUUUCUUGUACCCCAUGAAAUUAGACACGAUCCCAGAAAGUGUGCCAUGCCUGAAGCACUUUUUCUAUCCCCUAGGUAACCAGCAUAAUCAGCGUCAGCAUACCUAAUCAAGUCAAAAUUGUCUCCUGGAGAUAGUAGAGAACCAGGUCUUGUGUUCCUUUGAGAUACCUCAGGAUUCUCUUGGCAGCCUUCAUAUGAGAUUCCUUGGAUUAGAUUGAAAUCUAGCAUAUAGACCCACACUGAAAUCGAGGUCUGGUCUGCUUGUUGUGAAAUACAAGAGUGACCCAAUGAUACCUCUAUACAUGGUCUCGUUAACAGGAAAACUAGGUUCAUCUAUGUCUAGACGAGUGGCAGUGGCAAUAGGAGUAUUAAUGAUUUUUGAACUUUCCAUAUCAAAUCUCUUUAGAAGCUUUUUCAUGUGCUUUUGCUGACUUAUCAUUAUGCCCUUUGGAGUUUGCUUAACUUGCAGACUUAUGAAGAAAUUCAAUUCCCCCAUCAUGCGCAUCUCGAACUCACUUCCCAUAAGCUUUGCAAACUCUUCACACAGGGAAUAAUUUGUUGCACCAAAGAUGAUGUCGUCAAUAUAGACUUGCACAAUGAGCAUGUUCCUCCCCUGUUUCUUUAGAAAUAAGGUGUUGUCAAUUUUUCUUGUUGUAAAUCCAUUUUCAAGGAGGAAUUUGGACAACCUUUCAUACCAUGCACGAGGAGCUUGCUUUAGCCCAUAUAAAGCCUUGUCAGGUUUGAAUACAUGCUUAGAAUGCUUAUGACAUUCAAAGCCAGGUGGUUGUUUGACGAAGACUUCUUAUUUUAGAUAUACAUUUAGAAAUGCACUUUUGACAUCCAUUUGGAAUAAUUUGAAUUCCAUAUGAGAUGCAAAGGCAAUGAGGAUUCUGAUGGCUUCUAUUCGAGCAGUUGGAGCAAAAGUUUUGUCAUAGUCGAUCCCUUCUUCUUGAUUGUAGCCUUGAACUACUAACCUUGUCUUUUCUUUCUUGUGUUGCCAAACUCAUCUAGUUUAUUUUUGAACACCCACUUAGUUCCUAUAAUAGUUCUGUCAGCAGGUCAAGGAACCAGAUGCCAUACGAUAUUCCUCUCAAAUUGAUGAAGUUCAUCUAGUAUAGUAGUAAUCCAGUCGGCAUCUUUCAAUGCUUUUUUGAUAUUUUUUGACUCAAUUUGAGAAAGAAAGGUUGAGAAGGCAAGUGAGUUUGUUAACUUUGACCUAGUUUGAAUCCCCGAGGCAAGAGGAGUGAUCACAUUCUGAAGAGGAUGUGAACUCUUAUGCUUCUAGUUAGACACCUGAAUCUCAUUGUGAGAAGAUCCAGGUUCUUCUAAAUGUGAUUCAUUAUUAACAUGAGUUUUACUUCUCAGAUCAGCAUCUAGGUUCCUUGCACAACAUCAACAACUCUAUUCUCUACUUUAGUUAUUAUGAUUCAGGUACCAGGUUCCUCUACAUCAACUGGAGAUUCAGCUGCACCAUUAUUAUUUGAUUCUUUGACCAGACUUAUCAUGUCAGCCUUUCUAUUUGCCAUAUCAAUAACUUCACCAGGAACAUUUGAUAGGUCUCCAUCUUGAUCAGCCUUAUCGUGUGAAUCUCUUCCAAAUAGGUGGUGUGAUUCAUCAACGAUCACAUGUAUGUUUUCCUCAACAUAUUGAGUUCAUUUGUUGUACACCUUGUAAGCUUUUCUUUGUAAUGAAUAGCCAAGAAAUUUUCCUUCAUCACUUUGGCAUCAAAUUUUUCUAGUGCUUCCUUACCAUUAUUGAGGACAGAACAUUUGCAGCCAAAUGUCCUUAAGUGUGUUAGCUUGGGUUUUCUCCCGUUCAGUAGUUCAUACAGGGUUUUGUCUAGGAAGGACCUAAUCAUGAACAUGUUCACCAAGUAGCAUGCAGUGUUAACUAACUUUGCACAAAAACUUUUUGCAAUCCACUGUCAUCAACAUUGUCCUAACCAUGUCUUCAAGAGUUCUAUUUUUUCUCUCUACAACACUAUUUUCUUGGGGUGUUCUUGGAGCUGAAAAAUUAUGACAUACUAUUUUCAGCAUAGAAUUCGUUGAACUUUGCAUUGUCGAACUUUGUGCCAUGAUCAGAUCUUAUACUCACAACAUUAUGACUCGUCUUUACUUGGAUCUUCUUUACAAAAGCAGCAAACACCAGGAAAAUCUCAUCUUUGGUUUUGAGGAACAAGGUCCAUGUGAAUCUGGAGUAGUCAUCUACUAUAAUGAAAAUGUAUUUCUUUCCUCUUCUACUUGGCACUCUCAUAGGUCCAUAUAGAUCCUUAUGGUGGAGAUCAAGUUGCGUGGAGGUUCUUACUUCCUUUUUGGGUUUGAAGGAGGACCUGAUUUGCUUUUCUUUUACACAUGUAUCCCACACCUUGUGAUCUUUGAAGAUUGACUUAGGUAGCCUACGAAUCAGGUCCUUCUUGACAAAUUUGUUCAGCAACGUAAAACUUGCAUGUCCCAACCUUCUGUGCCACAGUUCAGCAUCAUCAUCUACAGCACUCAGACACGUGAGAUCCCUAUUGUGCAAGAACUCAAAAUAAGCAACAUAAAUGUUUUUGUAUCCUUUUGCCAUCAGGACCACUUCACCAAUCACGAGGUUUGUGAAUGUGCAAAUUUUUAACAUAAAUUCCACCUUGUUUUUCUUUGUCACGGAUUUGAGAAACACUUAGUAAGCUAUACUUCAAGUAGCUCACAUAAUACACAUUUUCGAUUGAGUGAGUGGGAGAUUUCCCAAUUCUUCCUACUCCCAAAAUGUAUCCGUUUUUGCCAUUACCAAAGGACACACUACCUCCUUGCAAGGCUUUGAGUGAAAGAAAAUCAUUAGUGCUUCCAGUCAUAUGCUUAGAACAUCCACUAUCCAUAUACCAUCUUUGGUUGCUCCAUGCACAAGGAAAUUAAGUAUUAGACUUAGGAACCCAAAUAGGUUUGUGUCCAUUGUAGUGAGAAAAAGGGUGAAUCAAGGUUCUUUUUGUCCAAGCAGGCAUCACACGUUUUUUAUAUGAGGGACCAGGUUCUUUAGCAGUACUUACUUUUUCAGCAAAAACUUUAUUUUUUUGUUGGCACUGAAAUCUAGCUUUACAUGUUUCUUUAAAAUGCCCAGUGUUACCACAAUGAGUGCAAAGCCAGUUAUCAGGGACACUAACGUACUUGCUAUGAGGGUUGUAAGGAGUCUUUUCCCUUAAUUCCUGAUUCCCUGCCUGUUUCCCCUAUUGUUCUUAUGCAUAGUAGUGAUUGUAUCAGAGGACCAAUUCCACUUAAGAGAUUUUUAUAGGCCAUUCUUAACUCUGCCUAGAUCUUCUUGAAGUUGUUUGUUUCUAUCAAGUUCAGCACACAAACUAGAUUUCAAUGAUUUUAGCUCAUUUUCAAGCCUAAGGUGUACCUCGUUUGCAACUUCUUUUCCCUUUUGAGUGAUCUCAUGACUACCUUCCCUUUUUAGUUCCACAAUUGUUUCCUUUAGGUCCACAACUACUACUAAUAAGUCAUCUCUCUCAUGCUCUAUGUUUUCAACCUUUUCAGCUAAAGCAUAUUUUUCCUUUUUUAAACCAUCAAUGGUCUCUUUUAGAUCGACCACAACAACCAGUAGAUCAUCUCUCUCAAUUUCUACUUCUCCUAGUUCCACAGUUAGCAUAUUCUUAUCAUUAAUGAGAUUGUGAUAUGUAUCAGUUAGAAUAUUAGCUAAGGAUAUAAGCUUCUUUUAAGAAUAGGGCUUCAAAUUUCUUUGAACGUCCAGAAAGUUUACCUCAUCUUCCUCAUCCUCGUCAGAUUUUCCCAUUAGGGCAAAAAUAGAGUCAUACUCAGCUGCUUCACUUUCUACUACCAUCAUAGAGCUAUAAUCUUGCUCAUCAUCUUCUCUAGAUUCGCUUGAAGAGUCUCCCAAUGCAGCAAGAGCUUGUUUCACAACAUUGUCAGUGACAUCUUUUCUCUUGAAUCUUUUGUCAGGAACCGGGUUCCUCUUGGCUGCUUUGUAUGUGUUGUGUUUGUACUUUUGUUGCUUGUGGAGAGGACAAUCCUGAAUGAAAUAUCCUGGAUUCCCGUAUUUAUGACAUAAGUCAUAGCCUCUUGGCUUGCUAGAGCUGCCCCUUUUUGGAAUACCUCCAUUUCUGCGAACCAUUUUCUGAAAUCUCUUUGUCAGGUACGCCAUAUGAGCAUCCUCACCACUUGAGUCAUUGUUGUCAGUCUUGAGGACCAGGUUCUUCUCCCUUUUGGGCUCUCUUCUCUCAUGAACCUUAUUCUUCUUCUUCAUUUCAUAAGUUUUUAAAUUGUCAAUGAGUUUAUCAAUAGUGAGCUUUUGCAGAUCCUUUGCCUCCGUGAUAGCAUUUACUUUGCUUUCCCAAGAACCAGGCAAUACACUGAGUAUUUUUCUGACAAGCUUGUUCCUUGGAAUUAUUGUCACACCCCUUUUUUAACAGAACCUCACUAACCCUCUUAAAUUAUAUAAAAGGAUUUAGUAAGGCUUGAAAAGGUUUUCCAAUUAGAACGUGACAAAAAUUGUGUUCAGAAGGAAAUAACUCAGAGUCGCCACCUGACAUUGGUUUUGGUGUGCCAGGCCACCGUUUUAAAAAAAUAAUUUUUCCUUUUAAAACACUUAGGAUUCCAAAACUAAGUCUGUACCAGAGAUUCGGGUAAGGGGUUCAUUUGACUCGGGGAGAAGGUAUUAGGCAUUCCCCGAGUCCCCUAACUAGUACGGUUGCGUACUUGAUCUAGGUGGUUUUUAUUGAAUAUUCGAAUUGAGGUAAAAAUAAAAACAUAAAAGCAAAAUAAACACACGCGAGGCUCGAGGCUGUCCCCACCUAAUAAAAUAAAAAUAAAAAUACUACGAUUUCUACUAUCGACCUCCAAAUACAAAUACUUCGGGGCAUACCCCGGAAUAGAAUAGAUACAAAUCUUUCGGGGCAUUCCCCGGAUAAAUUUAACUAAGGGAACAACCUCGAGCCUCGUGUGUGUUUAUUUUUCUUUUAUGUGUUUAUUUUUACCUCAAUAUAUUCUAAAAACCAACUAGAUCGAGUACGCAACCGUACUAGUUAUGGGACUCGGGGAAUGCCUAAUACCUUCUCCCCGAGUCAAAUGAACCCCUUACCCGAAUCUCUGGUACAGACUUAAUUUUGGAGUCCUAAGUGUUUUAAAAGGAAAAAUUAUUUUUUUAAAAACGGUGGCCUGGCACACCAAAACCAAUGUCAGGUGGCGACUUUGAGUUAUUUCCUUCUGAACACAAUUUUUAUCACGUUCUAAUUGGAAAACCCUUUUCAAGCUUUACUAAAUCCUUUUAUAUAAUUUAAGAGGGUUAGUGAGGUUCUGUUAAAAAGGGGGUGUGAGAACAACCUCUUGCCUCGAAACUAACAAAUAUCCUAAAGAUUGCCUACUUAGGUGUGGUCGGCCUAGUCAUGCUCCUAGCGGUCCAAUUAACGAGAGUAAGAAUAAAGAACGACAAAAUUAUAUCAAACUCUAUAUCAAAAACAAUUGAACGAGAGUAACAGAUUCAUCAAUUGAAAUUUCCUAGCUUCAGAUGUUAAAGGCAACCUAAAUCCAUCUUCCUUUUUAACAUAACCCAAUCACAGAUUUCAUGGAAAAUUUCAGCACAAGUUGGUUCGUGUAAAUCCAAACCAAUUGAUGUGAGAAGAAUUAACCAAGCAAAAUAUUAUUAACAUGGAUCAAACAAACAUUUCAACACAAACAACACAUAAGUUUUAAAAAAGAUAAGUUGAGCGGAGAACUGAAUAAUCGGACCUGGAAGAGGGAGUUUCAAUCAAUUCGAUGUUUGUAAAAUAAUACACUUGAAGGCAGUAACUAAAGCUUGACGGAUAGAAGCGUAUUCCACCAAAUGAGCAUCGAAACAGACACUUCAAAACCCGACGACAUUCAACGAGCACCCACGAAUUCAGCACCUUCACUCAUUUGAAUUCCGUCACUUCGAAACUCAAAUCGAAAUCAAAAAAUCAAUAGAGAAAUUUGCUAAGAUUCUGUCCAGAAUUUCCUCUCGAUCUCUGUCUACGGAAACGGGAAAUGGGAAAGUACGCUGGCCGAAAAUUGGAGAGAGGAGGUCGCUCUCUUCCUUGUGUCCCAAGGUUGAAGAAGCAGGGGGUCUUUUGGGCGAGGGUAGCAGUGGGGAUCCGUUUAGAGGUGUUCAAGGCUAGAAGAGGAAGAAGCCAUGGUUGAAGGAGUGAUCUUUUCUGGCUGGUAUUCGAAGAAGAAGAAGAAGCUAGUGGGGGUCGCUACUGUGCUAUGUUGUCGCGGUUGUUUCUGUGUGCAGCGGCGAUGGAUGGCUGGUUUAUUCCAGCUGGUUGUGGCUGUUGAAGAAGGCUACUCCCUUUUCUUGUAUGUCUUUUGUCCGUUGUUGUCUAGAUCAAGAAGAAGAAGAAGCGGUCAUCGAUGUCCUCCAAGUUCUGUCGUUGCUGCUGGUUGCUCAAAAUAAAAGGGGUCGUUAUUUUUGCUGGAAAAAAAAAGAACAAUGGGGUGGAAGGGUUGUGUAUCGUGUUUCUCUGGAGUGACGUUGAUGGUUGUUUUUGGGUCUUGAAGAUGGAAGAUGAAGGCUAGGGUUCUGUGUUUUUCCUUGAAGUAGAUGAAGUGCUGAAAGGUUUUC
This 7325-nucleotide long non-coding RNA is filed under the name Nicotiana tabacum (common tobacco). RNAcentral's name for it is "long non-coding RNA (NTAB_LNC001485)". Lineage: Eukaryota; Viridiplantae; Streptophyta; Magnoliopsida; Solanales; Solanaceae. The record is from RNAcentral.